This 73-nucleotide transfer RNA is filed under the name Clostridiales bacterium oral taxon 876 str. F0540. It matches the Rfam family "tRNA". From Rfam's summary of the family: Transfer RNA (tRNA) molecules are approximately 80 nucleotides in length. Their secondary structure includes four short double-helical elements and three loops (D, anti-codon, and T loops). The record is from Rfam by way of RNAcentral. Lineage: Bacteria; Bacillati; Bacillota; Clostridia; Eubacteriales.
GCUUCCAUAGCGCAGCUGGCAGCGCAACUGAUUCGUAAUCAGUAGGUCGGGGGUUCAAAUCCCCCUGGGAGCU